This is a long non-coding RNA of Xyrauchen texanus (razorback sucker), 380 nucleotides long. RefSeq lists it as uncharacterized. The record is from RefSeq and is a predicted model, not a curated record. The transcript has 3 exons. Lineage: Eukaryota; Metazoa; Chordata; Actinopteri; Cypriniformes; Catostomidae.
UAAUAAUUAAAAACUUGAGUCACAGAAAUCGAGACAUAAAGAGAGUGGAAAUUUUUUAAACAACAAGCCUCAACAAUAAGGAUUAUUUUCUGCUGGUCCAGUUUGAUGAAAGAAAGUCACACACAUCUUGGAUGACAAGAGGAUGGAGGAGGAAAAUAAAUGAAUUCAGAAAGACAUGUCUUUAGAAGUCCCAGAUCGGGCACUGGAUUCGGCACCAGCAAUGGCAACCUGAUGGUGGAAAAGGAGCUUCAGAAAACUUUCCUCUCUUCAGUCAGGACGAGGAAAUCCCUGGUUGCCAUGCCUGAGCCUUGAUGUCCUUAUGCAGUUGCAUCUGCCUGACACCAUUUCAGCAGCCCUGUAGUCAUUAAUUUUUCAUCGCU